GAAACGACUGCUAAGACUGGAUAGGAGAUAAAAAGGAAUCUUUUUAUUUUUAAAAGACCUUUUUCGGAAGGUAUGCUUAAAGAGGGGCUUGCGUCACAUUAGUUAGUUGGUAGGGUAAAGGCCUACCAAGACGAUGAUGUGUAGCUGGACUGAGAGGUUGAACAGCCACAUUGGGACUGAGACACGGCCCAAACUCCUACGGGAGGCAGCAGUAGGGAAUUUUCGGCAAUGGAGGAAACUCUGACCGAGCGACGCCGCGUGAACGACGAAGUACUUCGGUAUGUAAAGUUCUUUUAUUGAAGAAGAAACAAUAGUGGAAAAACUAUCUUGACGUUAUUCAAUGAAUAAGCCCCGGCUAACUAUGUGCCAGCAGCCGCGGUAAUACAUAGGGGGCGAGCGUUAUCCGGAAUUAUUGGGCGUAAAGGGUGCGUAGGCGGUUUAAUAAGUCUCUAGUUUAAUUUCAACGCUUAACGUUGUCCUGCUAGAGAAACUGUUUAACUAGAGUGAGAUAGAGGUAAGCGGAAUUCCAUGUGUAGCGGUAAAAUGUGUAAAUAUAUGGAGGAACACCAGAGGCGUAGGCGGCUUACCGGGUCUUUACUGACGCUGAUGCACGAAAGCGUGGGGAGCAAACAGGAUUAGAUACCCUGGUAGUCCACGCCGUAAACUAUGAGUACUAAGUGUCGGGGUUAAACUCGGUACUGAAGUUAACACAUUAAGUACUCCGCCUGAGUAGUACGUACGCAAGUAUGAAACUUAAAGGAAUUGACGGGAUCCCGCACAAGCGGUGGAUCAUGUUGUUUAAUUCGAAGAUACACGAAAAACCUUACCAGGUCUUGACAUACUCUGCAAAGCUAUAGAAAUAUAGUGGAGGUUAUCAGGGAUACAGGUGGUGCAUGGUUGUCGUCAGCUCGUGUCGUGAGAUGUUAGGUUAAGUUCUAAAACGAGCGCAACCCCUGUCGUUAAUUGCCAGCACGUUAUGGUGGGGACUUUAGCGAGACUGCCAAUGAAAAAUUGGAGGAAGGUGGGGAUUACGUCAAAUCAUCAUGCCCCUUAUGAUCUGGGUUACAAACGUGAUACAAUGGCUAUUACAAAGAGUAGCUGAAACGCGAGUUUUCGGCAAAUCUCAAAAAAAUAGUCUCAGUUCGGAUUGAAGUCUGCAACUCGACCUCAUGAAGUUGGAAUCGCUAGUAAUCGCGAAUCAGCAUGUCGCGGUGAAUACGUUGGCGGGGUUUGUACACACCGCCA
Molecule: ribosomal RNA, 1245 nt
Filed under: Lethal yellowing phytoplasma
Lineage: Bacteria; Bacillati; Mycoplasmatota; Mollicutes; Acholeplasmatales; Acholeplasmataceae
Description: bacterial SSU rRNA
Rfam family: Bacterial small subunit ribosomal RNA
Source: RNAcentral